CCCUAUCCGCGUGCCAACGUAGGAGCUUUGCUACCUUAGGGUCCGCGAAAUACCGUUGCAGACGAGGAGUGAUCGGAAAGUACCACACCACUUUUCGAGGAGCUUUCUUCCUCUUCUUGUAUCGACUGACGUCGCACACCGGACAUAUGGUAGACUCCGCGUGCUCGUCCUGAUAAAUGAUGCAAUUGUUCAUGCACACAUGGU
This 204-nucleotide long non-coding RNA is filed under the name Hordeum vulgare. RNAcentral describes it as "long non-coding RNA (HVUL_LNC010883)". Lineage: Eukaryota; Viridiplantae; Streptophyta; Magnoliopsida; Poales; Poaceae. The record is from RNAcentral.